UACAGAGGGUGCAAGCGUUGCUCGGAAUCAUUGGGCGUAAAGGGCAAGUAGGUGGUCUCAUUUGUCUAGGGUGAAAUCCUUGAGCUUAACUCAAGAAGUGCCCUAGAAACGGUGAGACUCGAGUACUGGAGAGGGUCGUGGAAUUCCCGGUGUAGCGGUGAAAUGCGUAGAGAUCGGGAGGAACACCAGAGGCGAAGGCGGCGACCUGGACAGUUACUGACACUCAACUGCGAAAGCGUGGGGAGCAAACAGG
This 253-nucleotide ribosomal RNA is filed under the name uncultured bacterium. RNAcentral describes it as "partial 16S ribosomal RNA". It matches the Rfam family "Bacterial small subunit ribosomal RNA", at positions 524 to 776 of the family's 1533-position model. The record is from RNAcentral.